UACGUAGGUGGCAAGCGUUGUUCGGAAUUAUUGGGCGUAAAGGGCGCGUAGGCGGUUUGUUAAGUCGGUUGUGAAAGCCCGGGGCUCAACCCCGGAGAGUCGUCCGAUACUGGCAGACUAGAGUACAGAAGAGGUAGCUGGAAUUCCUGGUGUAGCGGUGAAAUGCGUAGAUAUCAGGAGGAACACCGAUGGCGAAGGCAGGUCUCUGGGCCACUACUGACGCUGAGAAGCGAAAGCAUGGGGAGCGAACAGG
This 253-nucleotide ribosomal RNA is filed under the name uncultured bacterium. RNAcentral describes it as "partial 16S ribosomal RNA". It matches the Rfam family "Bacterial small subunit ribosomal RNA", at positions 524 to 776 of the family's 1533-position model. The record is from RNAcentral.